RNAcentral lists this long non-coding RNA (3244 nucleotides) under Canis lupus familiaris (dog). RNAcentral describes it as "lncRNA (ENSCAFG00000057020.1)". The record is from RNAcentral. Lineage: Eukaryota; Metazoa; Chordata; Mammalia; Carnivora; Canidae.
CGAUUGAUGCAACUCAGUAAUUUUUAUUGCAACUGGAAGACAAUACAUCACAGAAACUUUAUGGUAGGUCUGGGGGAAAAGUGUUAUUUACAAUAAAUGAUGAAAUAGUUUGUCUUUGGCAAUAUGAUUACAUAUGAAGAAUGCGAAAUGCAGGUAUGGAUGCCUCCAAAGCAACACCAUCAGGUCCCUAAAGUUCGGCUGAUCGUGCCUGCCUCCACACUGCUCCUCUAGGUAACGCAAACGCAACUGAACGUCACUUUCUUUCUCCUUUACGGUUCUCCCUUUCUAUUCAUGAUAUUGGCAGUUUCAUACAGAAAAUACAGAGGAAAAAAAAAUUGGCUCUCGAAAAAUUAUUACUCUAGUAAAUUAUAAUUUGGCCAUGUGGGUCUAUUGGCCAGCAAAGGUCAGACGACCAUAAGCAUCGAUAGUAAACCUCUUAGUCUUCUGAUUGCUUUAUCACUGUUUUUUUUUUUCUUCUGUAAAACAAAAAUGAAACUCAGAAAUGGUACAGAAUCAGAGUAUAAAAAAAUGUACAAGUGUAUAAUGCUUCCCAGACACACCCGGAUAACUCCCCCCCACCCACAUUUUUCACCACGGCAGUAUAAGUAGUGAGUGUGAAUAACACGGCAUGGAACUGGUUACUGAAUCAGCUCUGAGCUUCAAUGGCCUCAACAUACAUACUCAGGAAAUGCUUCAUGUUUAAAUAACUGAAAUUGUGCUAAGGUUCACCUAAAAAAAGGGGGGGGGGAGGGGGUGGGGGCUGGGGAACUCAGGCCACAGUCAUGGAAGGAUGAAAUACAAUUUGUAGGUUUGAUAGGCUCACCAUAUCGAAGUCUGUGCGAUUCCAAUAUGGAGUAUCAGUUAUUUGCAAAAGGUGGGGAAGGCUGUUCUCAACUUUUGCAAAUGAAAUACAGUGGAAAAAACACUGCUGAAUAGAUUCCAAAUAAAUAGUCUCGAUUUCAAUGCUAACGAAACGGACAAGGAAGGGUACUUGUGAGCAUAUCACAGUAAAGUCAGAAGUGGUCUUUCACCUAGGUCUGAUUUCAAAAGAAGGACAGACAGCAAAAUGCAGCACCAUAGACACAUCGGUUUCGGCCGUUACGAGAUGGAUCGUUUUGAAAAAAAAAAAAAAAUCGUUAUUUUCCUUCCUUAAUUUUUGGUCAGUGAAGCUAGCACUUGUUUGCUGAACUGUGGAAGAAUUUCAAGGUCACACGCAUUAUUCAUGAUAAAGCAACCGAGCUGACGAGUCUGUGCUUAAUUCAAGAAUAACCAGUAGGAGAGAGAGGAAAACAAGGAGUUAACCACCUCUGGCGCUCUCUCCAAGGAAGAGGGGUUAACAGAUGAAUUCACAAAGGUAGGCGGGUCUAUACAGAACACUGGAUGCCAUGUGUAAAUCCUCAUGAAACUCCAGAAACAGGAACACCACACAAUGUAUAUACUUUGAUUUACACAUUCCGUUACAAAGAGGAAAAAAAAAAGGAAAAGAAGACACCAUUACAACUUGGUAACUGUGUUAACUGCAAUAUAAACCAAAGUCCCGAGUUUGGCAGGUAACUAAAAGAGGGUUAUCACUUAGGUUAUAUAGCAAAAGUGUUGAUGUAUAUUAUAUAUAGUAGUAUAAAUAAUAAAAAAGUAUUAUUUAAAUUAGAUCACAGUGCUGCAUUAUGUGCAUAACAGUGUUUGAUAUAGUAUUGGAGGGCUGGGACCUACGACACCAAGGAUUUAACUGUCAACACUGGUUAAGUCACAAUCAAGAGGGGACACAGAGUUCAAAUGUGUUCUUUUGGUGGCAAGAAUCCUGAAGAUGAAAGGAAAAAAAAAAACCAAAAAAACAAAAACAAAAAACAAAAACAAAAAACAAACUUCUCUACAGAAACAUAAAAAAUCAAUUGCAACAUCUGGGCAGCUGUGAUCCACCAGAAAGAAACGAGUCCCAACCUGAAUCAAGUUUAGAGGGAAAAGAGAAGUCACAUUGAAUUGAACCCCAUCCCAUAUGCAAACCCCUCCCAUGUAGGUCACUUGUACAGAACUCUGAUUCCUUCUCCAAAAGCCCUUCGGUGAGAGGCUAAGAGCCCACACGCGUGGCGUGGGGAUAACCGGAGGGCGAGUCGCUAGCCCUCGGUGCCGGGCCGUCCCGGGGCUGAGCUGGGCCACGGGAGCCAUCUGGCCGGUGUCCACUCUGCAGAGCCCGCAGCCUGCAGUUGUCCCUGGGGCAGCUUCUAGAAGGCCCUGUGGGAUAGCUCCUGUCGCACCUGGCAGGGGCUGGAUGCGCCGACUUGCCUCCACGGGAAAGGUCGGCUCUUGGGGGAAAAGCCUGGGACGCAUCCCUUCUUUUAAAGACUCAGCCCCGGGACCGAAACCGCCACAGUCGUCUGGGCCAUCUCAAACCACCACCCAAACGUGGGUUCCAAAUAGACAGCUUUGUUUACCAAAGAACUCUUUAAAGUGUACUGAUCAGAGAGGGAAGGGAAGUAGGAGCUUAUGGUAUAUAAUAAGGCUGGGAAAAAUCUAUGAUGCAGACCCUUUCCACGUAGCACUAGAUAAAGGACGAUUAGAGUAGCAUAAAAAUAACUGUCUAUGUGUAGAGCAUUUAAGAAAAAAGAGCUACAGUCUCUUCCUCUUAAAUGGGUCCGAGGGCCAACAGCAAGUAACUGUAGAUGUCGUGGUGCUGAUGUGUUCAUGCUUGUUUUCCAAAGCAUCUUUAAAUAUUGCUAUAGUUCCCCGUCUCCCCCCGCCCCCCCGCCCCGUGUGAGUAGGUGAGAUACUGGAAUGACACAUGAAAACGCCACUUCUCCCAGCAGGAGAAAUGAAAGCAAAAACACCACACCCCUUGAACGGUGCUCAGGCGACCUGUCAGACUCAUGAGUACAUAGGCUAAGUUUGGAAGCUAGAAGAACACCUGACGUUUGGGAAGUAAUUCCAAGACUAAAGUGAAUUACAUUUGAGCAAAAUAUUCUUUCACAAAUAGGCUUGUGCUUAAAUCCUCUACUGCUCUUGGAGGAGGGGAGUGAGAGAGGGUGCCUCCUGCCCCUUGGCUUGGCAAGGACGCGGGCAACCUCCUUCUGUGAUGAAUUUAACUACAAACGGCCACAUACACAUUGAUACUUGGUUUUUUUUGUUGUUGUUGUUGGUUUUUUUUGUUUUUUCUCAACGAUCAAAAUACAAAGUUAAACACAAUUGAGCCAUUGUUUUGGUUAUGCAUAAUGUGUAUGCCUCCAAAAACAGAAGAAAAAUAGAAAAAAGU